Long non-coding RNA from Arvicola amphibius (Eurasian water vole), 1784 nucleotides. RefSeq lists it as uncharacterized. The transcript has 2 exons. Lineage: Eukaryota; Metazoa; Chordata; Mammalia; Rodentia; Cricetidae. The record is from RefSeq and is a predicted model, not a curated record.
GUCAUGGGUUCACCAAGGUUUCCAAGGAAGUUUUGAAAGAGGCUUUGGUAGUCUCUCGGCGGCCUGUGGCAGAACCAGAGUCUUCGCAGGCAGCUUCUAGGAGGCGAUGUGCGAGACCGGAGCCGAGCCUGCUUUGGAAACCCCAGGAAGAUCGGGAACCUGGACUGACUACUCAAGAAUUCUGCAGCCAGCAAGUGGAGCCAGCUGAAGAAAGAGAUGUGUGGGCUCCUGCCAGAAAAGGGGGGGGGGCUGCUGCAAGUCUUCGGAGCUCAUAUCCCAGUAUCAUAUGUACAGCUGUUAGUCACAGAAGUACAGCUUUUAAUAUUUGCUUAACUGAGUUCCCAUCUUGCUUUUGGUCUGAUCCUUCUUCUCCAUGACUCCACCUCCCCCUUCUGAAUGACAGUAUUUGUGCCACUGUGUAUUGGAAGUAUGCAACUUGUUUGAUUUUCAAAAUGUUAUAUCAUUUCCCCCUUCCUCCCUCCAGCUCUCUCAUGCUCCCACACCCCAUUCUCUCUCAAAUUCAUGUUCUCUUUUUAUUUAAUUAAAUAAUACCUGUUGGGUCUAUCUAAUGUGCUUGAAUGUAUAUGUUUCUAGGACUGACCACUAGAUAUUGGAUAUUGGAUAAUCAAUUAGAGGCCACAUACUGGGGAAAGUCUAAUUCUGCCCCCCCCUCCUACCCUAUGCUUUCUCCUCUCUCCUCUCUUUGAACAGCAUUGCCUUACUGCACGCCCCUGCUCCCCACAAUGAUUUUCUGCUUCUCACAGACCUAACUGGUGGCCAGACAGCCACAGCCUGAAACUCCUGGACCCACUCUCCCUUCGAUUUGAUCUAUCUCUGGCAUUUUGUCACUGCACUGGAAAUCUGACUAAAGCAUCAUGAGAAUUGGAACCUAUUUGGAAAUCGGAUACUUUCAGGUACAAUCAUAAUACAACAACGAGAAAAAUUAUGAUUUUUUUUCUCCUAGGCAACAGCUGUAUUGUGAGGAUGCUGAAUAGCUCCUUUGUAGCCACCCUCUGUCAGAAAUCAGCUGAAGUGGAUGCUGAUUGUAAGCUCCACACCUGCUGAGAGACGCUGUGACCACCGAAGCAGCUGCCGAUACUCUGGGUGAAGGUGGAAGGCUUAUGUGAGUCGAAUCCAUAGCAAGAAUGCCAGACAAGGUUUUGACCCACAGCAGAGUGCACCAAUGUUAAGUAAGGAGCAUUCUUGCUAUCUACACCAAGGAGGACUGUUGAGAAGUACAGGUCUUUUCAGGGAUGCAUUGUGGAGUUCAAUCUGUGUAUUCUCAACUUGGUUACUGUAAAGAAGAAAAGAGAGUGGGGUGGCUAUUCCUGGACUGGCAGAUACUAGGAUGCUUCAGAGGUUGGGGCCCAAAAGGACUAGCAGAAUUCCAAAACUUUCUGAUCUCUAAAGAAGGUGAUGUCUGCCAAAAUGCUGUCAGGAAGCCCUUAAACAAAGAAGAUAAGAAACCCAGGACCAAAGUCCCUAAGACUCGGUGUCUUGUUACUCCACACGUCCCAACUUCUUGCUCUGAAGAUACAACACACUAAGAAAAUUUGCCAUCCACUUCUCAGAGAGGCUCUAGGAAGCUAAUUCCUCUGUGAAAUUUGUCCUGACGGCAGCUGAAAUAGAGGAAGAACGUCAAAGCAACUCGAUGUGUUUAUUCUUCCAUCUGGAAAGACAAGGACACAGAGCGUGGUACUUGGAGUAGGGGAAAAAACUCAAAAAGAUUUGCAUGUUUCAUUUAUCCAUUGCAAGGCAAUAAAGAAAGCAUCCUAAUAACUAGC